AUUGAACGCUGGCGGCAGGCCUAACACAUGCAAGUCGAACGAGUGGCGGACGGGUGCGUACUGUUUGGGAAACUGCCUGAUGGAGGGGGAUAACUACUGGAAACGGUAGCGAAUACCGCAUACCAUCAGAUGUGCCCAGUCGGGAUUAGCUAGUCGGUGGGGUAACGGCUCACCUAGGCGACGAUCCAUAGCUGGUCUGAGAGGAUGAUCAGCCACACUGGAACUGAGACACGGUCCAGACUCCUACGGGAGGCAGCAGUGGGGAAUAUUGCACAAUGGGCGAAAGCCUGAUGCAGCAAUGCCGCGUGUAUGAAGAAGGCCUUCGGGUUGUAAAGUACUUUCAGCGGGGAGGCGUUACCCGCAGAAGAAGCACCGGCUAACUCCGUGCCAGCCGCCGCGGUAAUUC
RNAcentral lists this ribosomal RNA (406 nucleotides) under uncultured bacterium. Its description in RNAcentral is "partial 16S ribosomal RNA". It matches the Rfam family "Bacterial small subunit ribosomal RNA", at positions 30 to 526 of the family's 1533-position model. The record is from RNAcentral.